Molecule: ribosomal RNA, 453 nt
Filed under: Triticum aestivum (bread wheat)
Lineage: Eukaryota; Viridiplantae; Streptophyta; Magnoliopsida; Poales; Poaceae
Description: partial small subunit ribosomal RNA
Source: RNAcentral
AUGUUAUAUUCAUGCCCCAAUCAUGAUCUCUCAAGAAAAAUGAUUAUUCAAAAAAUUUAUGCUCGGCUUUCUCUCAGUAAUCGCUCCAUGCUCGAUACUUCUUGUACUGGAUCUUUUAUGAUGAAGACUAUUGAAUUCAAAUGGGAUUUAUUGGAAAGAAUUAAACGCAACUCUGAAGAUUGGGACCUCGACGAAGGUAAGGAGUCAGGUAUAACACCUAAGUUUGAUCGUGUUAAAUCCUUUAUGGAUACCGAUGCAUUUUGUGAAUUUAGCACUAAAUAUGGACUUGACUCUGAGAUAGUAGCUUCCUUUUGUGAAUCAUUUGCUAAUCAUGUUGAUCUCCCUAAGGAUAAGUGUUUUAAAUAUAAUCCUCCCAUUGAAGUAAAAGUAGUUGCACCUAUUAAAUUUGAAGAAAAGACUAUCACCUUUUGUUGUUCCUACUGCUUAUGUUGA